UGCGUAGGUGGCGAGGUAAGUCGGAUGUGAAAGCUCGGAGCUCAACUCCGAAAUGGCAUUGGAAACUACCUUGCUCGAGGGUUGGAGGGGGGACUGGAAUACUUGGUGUAGCAGUGAAAUGCGUAGAUAUCAAGUAGAACACCAGUGGCGAAGGCGAGUCCCUGGACAACUCCUGACACUGAGGCACGAAAGCUGGGAGCAACA
RNAcentral lists this ribosomal RNA (204 nucleotides) under uncultured bacterium. Its description in RNAcentral is "partial 16S ribosomal RNA". It matches the Rfam family "Bacterial small subunit ribosomal RNA", at positions 568 to 773 of the family's 1533-position model. The record is from RNAcentral.